This 497-nucleotide ribosomal RNA is filed under the name uncultured bacterium. RNAcentral's name for it is "partial 16S ribosomal RNA". It matches the Rfam family "Bacterial small subunit ribosomal RNA", at positions 28 to 507 of the family's 1533-position model. The record is from RNAcentral.
GAUGAACGCUGGCGGCGUGCCUAAUACAUGCAAGUCGAGCGAACGGACGAGAAGCUUGCUUCUCUGAUGUUAGCGGCGGACUGGUGAGUAACACGUGGAUAACCUACCUAUAAGACUGGGAUAACUUCGGGAAACCGGAGCUAAUACCGGAUAAUAUUUUGAACCGCAUGGUUCAAAAGUGAAAGACGGUCUUGCUGUCACUUAUAGAUGGAUCCGCGCUGCAUUAGCUAGUUGGUAAGGUAACGGCUUACCAAGGCAACGAUGCAUAGCCGACCUGAGAGGGUGAUCGGCCACACUGGAACUGAGACACGGUCCAGACUCCUACGGGAGGCAGCAGUAGGGAAUCUUCCGCAAUGGGCGAAAGCCUGACGGAGCAACGCCGCGUGAGUGAUGAAGGUCUUCGGAUCGUAAAACUCUGUUAUUAGGGAAGAACAUAUGUGUAAGUAACUGUGCACAUCUUGACGGUACCUAAUCAGAAAGCCACGGCUAACUACGUG